Molecule: ribosomal RNA, 102 nt
Filed under: Periophthalmus magnuspinnatus
Lineage: Eukaryota; Metazoa; Chordata; Actinopteri; Gobiiformes; Gobiidae
Source: RNAcentral
UUGUGUGGUUAAACCGUCCUGUCAGAUCUCAGAAGCUAAACCGGGCUGGGCCUGGUCAGGACUUGGAUGGGAGACCGCUGGGAAUAUCAGGUGCCACAGAAC